GCGAAAAGAACCCCGGCGAGGGGAGUGAAAAAGAACCUGAAACCGUGUACGUACAAGCAGUGGGAGCCCCACCACUAAGCCAGUGGUGAACUCCACAUACGCAUCCUUUGCUGAGGAUACGGUUAACGGAGCGAAAGCGACGUUCAACCGCAAAAGAAGCAGAGGGGGCUUAGUGGUGGGGUGACUGCGUACCUUUUGUAUAAUGGGUCAGCGACUUAUAUUCUGUAGCAAGGUUAACCGAAUAGGGGAGCCGGAGGGAAACCGAGUCUUAACCGGGCGUUAAGUUGCAGGGUAUAGACCCGAAACCCGGUGAUCUAGCCAUGGGCAGGUUGAAGGUUGGGUAACACUAACUGGAGGACCGAACCGACUAAUGUUGAAAAAUUAGCGGAUGACCUGUGGCUGGGGGUGAAAGGCCAAUCAAACCGGGAGAUAGCUGGUUCUCCCCGAAAGCUAUUUAGGUAGCGCCUCGUGAAUUCAUCUCCGGGGGUAGAGCACUGUUUCGGCUAGGGGGCCAUCCCGGCUUACCAACCCGAUGCAAACUGCGAAUACCGGAGAAUGUUAUCACGGGAGACACACGGCGGGUGCUAACGUCCGUCGUGAAGAGGGAAACAACCCAGACCGCCAGCUAAGGUCCCAAAGUCAUGGUUAAGUGGGAAACGAUGUGGGAAGGCCCAGACAGCCAGGAUGUUGGCUUAGAAGCAGCCAUCAUUUAAAGAAAGCGUAAUAGCUCACUGGUCGAGUCGGCCUGCGCGGAAGAUGUAACGGGGCUAAACCAUGCACCGAAGCUGCGGCAGCGAACGUAUCACUUAAAGCGAUUCAGCG
This 822-nucleotide ribosomal RNA is filed under the name Salmonella enterica. Its description in RNAcentral is "partial 23S ribosomal RNA". It matches the Rfam family "Bacterial large subunit ribosomal RNA", at positions 514 to 1223 of the family's 2925-position model. The record is from RNAcentral. RNAcentral also lists the same sequence under 1 other name. Lineage: Bacteria; Pseudomonadati; Pseudomonadota; Gammaproteobacteria; Enterobacterales; Enterobacteriaceae.